This 499-nucleotide ribosomal RNA is filed under the name Salmonella enterica subsp. enterica serovar Hadar. Its description in RNAcentral is "bacterial SSU rRNA". It matches the Rfam family "Bacterial small subunit ribosomal RNA", at positions 1034 to 1533 of the family's 1533-position model. Lineage: Bacteria; Pseudomonadati; Pseudomonadota; Gammaproteobacteria; Enterobacterales; Enterobacteriaceae. RNAcentral also lists the same sequence under 1 other name. The record is from RNAcentral.
ACAGGUGCUGCAUGGCUGUCGUCAGCUCGUGUUGUGAAAUGUUGGGUUAAGUCCCGCAACGAGCGCAACCCUUAUCCUUUGUUGCCAGCGGUUAGGCCGGGAACUCAAAGGAGACUGCCAGUGAUAAACUGGAGGAAGGUGGGGAUGACGUCAAGUCAUCAUGGCCCUUACGACCAGGGCUACACACGUGCUACAAUGGCGCAUACAAAGAGAAGCGACCUCGCGAGAGCAAGCGGACCUCAUAAAGUGCGUCGUAGUCCGGAUUGGAGUCUGCAACUCGACUCCAUGAAGUCGGAAUCGCUAGUAAUCGUGGAUCAGAAUGCCACGGUGAAUACGUUCCCGGGCCUUGUACACACCGCCCGUCACACCAUGGGAGUGGGUUGCAAAAGAAGUAGGUAGCUUAACCUUCGGGAGGGCGCUUACCACUUUGUGAUUCAUGACUGGGGUGAAGUCGUAACAAGGUAACCGUAGGGGAACCUGCGGUUGGAUCACCUCCUUA